This 242-nucleotide ribosomal RNA is filed under the name uncultured bacterium. RNAcentral describes it as "partial 16S ribosomal RNA". It matches the Rfam family "Bacterial small subunit ribosomal RNA", at positions 92 to 334 of the family's 1533-position model. The record is from RNAcentral.
CGACCGGCGAACGGGUGAGUAACGCGUAUGCAACCUACCUUUAACUGGGGAACAGCCCGAUGAAAUUCGGAUUAAUACCCCAUAAUGUCUUAGAAUCGCAUGGUUUUAAGAUUAAAGCUCCGGCGGUUAAAGAUGGGCAUGCGUGACAUUAGUUUGUUGGUGAGGUAACGGCUCACCAAGACUACGAUGUCUAGGGGUUCUGAGAGGAUGAUCCCCCACACUGGUACUGAGACACGGACCAG